RNAcentral lists this ribosomal RNA (880 nucleotides) under uncultured bacterium. RNAcentral's name for it is "bacterial SSU rRNA". It matches the Rfam family "Bacterial small subunit ribosomal RNA", at positions 505 to 1397 of the family's 1533-position model. The record is from RNAcentral.
GUGCCAGCAGCCGCGGUCAUACGUAGGAUCCGAGCAUUAUCCGGAGUGACUGGGCGUAAAGAGUUGCGUAGGUGGAUGUUUAAGUAGAUGGUGAAAUCUGGUGGCUCAACCAUUCAGACUGUUAUCUAAACUGGACAUCUCGAGAGCGUCAGGGGUGACUGGAAUUUCUAGUGUAGGAGUGAAAUCCGUAGAUAUUAGAAGGAACACCGAUAGCGUAGGCAGGUCACUAGGGCGUUUCUGACACUAAGGCACGAAAGCGUAGGGAGCAAACGGGAUUAGAUACCCCGGUAGUCUACGCCGUAAACGAUGGAUGCUAGCUGUGGGGGGUAUCGACCCCUUCCGUAGCGAACUAACGCGUUAAGCAUCCCGCCUGUGUAGUACGAUCGCAAGAUUAAAACAUAAAGGAAUUGACGGGGACCCGCACAAGCGGUGGAGCGUGAUCUUUAAUUCGAUGCUAAACGAUAAACCUUACCAAGGCUUGACAUCCAGAGAAGAACCACGAAAGUGGAUUGUGCCUUCGGGAACUCUGUGACAGGUGAUGCAUGGCCGUCGUCAGCUCGUGUCGUGAGAUGUUUGGUUAAGUCCAUCAACGAGCGCAACCCUUGUCAGUAGUUGGAUUUUUCUACUGAAACUGCCCCGGUAACGAGGAGGAAGGAGGGGAUGAUGUCAGGUCAGUAUUUCCCUUACGCCCUGGGCUAGAAUCGCGCUACAAUGGCCGGUACAAUGCGAAGCGAAGUCGCGAGAUGAAGCAAAUCGCACCAAAGCCGGUCCCAGUUCGGAUAGGAGGCUGAAACUCGCCUCCUUGAAGUCGGAAUCGCUAGUAAUCGCAAAUCAGCAUGUUGCGGUGAAUACGUUCCCGGGUCUUGUACACACCGCCCGU